Non-coding RNA from Triticum urartu, 114 nucleotides. Lineage: Eukaryota; Viridiplantae; Streptophyta; Magnoliopsida; Poales; Poaceae. The record is from Rfam.
UAAAUACUCCCUCCGUUCCGAAUUACUUGUCGCAGGUAUGGAUGUAUCUAGAUGUAUUUAAGUCUAGGUAAAUCCAUUUCUAGGACAUGUAAUUUGGAACGGAGGGAGUAUUUU